CCUAGAGUUUGUGGACUUCGGUCUGCUACCUCUUACCCAUGUCUUUUGAGUACCUUCGUUUCCUCGGCGGGUCCGCCCGCCGGUUGGACAACAUUCAAACCCUUUGCAGUUGCAAUCAGCGUCUGAAAAAACUUAAUAGUUA
Molecule: unclassified non-coding RNA, 142 nt
Filed under: soil metagenome
Also listed under: 1 other name
Description: partial internal transcribed spacer 1
Source: RNAcentral